This 300-nucleotide ribosomal RNA is filed under the name Trachelipus aegaeus. RNAcentral's name for it is "partial 16S ribosomal RNA". It matches the Rfam family "Bacterial large subunit ribosomal RNA", at positions 2071 to 2605 of the family's 2925-position model. Lineage: Eukaryota; Metazoa; Arthropoda; Malacostraca; Isopoda; Trachelipodidae. The record is from RNAcentral.
UAAAUAAAAAAGUUUAUUUUACCUAGGUAGACGAUAAGACCCUAAAACCUUUAUUGAGUGUUAAAUCUCUUUUUGCUGGGGAGGCAAACUAUAAUCUCAUAGUUUAUGAAAACAAAAUGAAUGAUUUUAAAUAACUUAAGGUUAAAUCCAAAAAGGUACUUUAGGGAUAACAGCAUAAUUUUUAUAUAGAGUUUACUUAUCGACAUAAAAGAUUAUGACCUCGAUGUUGAAUUGAUAUUACUUUACUAAGCAGCCCUAGUAAUUUGUAGGUCUGUUCGACCUUUAAUCUAUCACAUGAUC